CCUACGGGAGACAGCAGUAGGGAAUCUUCGUCAAUGGGCGCAAGCCUGAACGAGCAAUGCCGCGUGAAGGAGGAAGGUCUUCGGAUCGUAAAGUUCUGUUGAAGGGGAAAAAGAGCGGAGUGAGGAAAUGGUCUCCGAUUGAUAUUACCAUUCGAGGAAGUCACGGCUAACUACGUGCCAGCAGCCGCGGUAAUACGUAGGUGGCGUGCGUUAUCCGGAAUGAGUGGGCGUAAAGGGUGCGUAGGCGGCCUGCUGAGUCUGGAGUGACAGGUACCGGCUCAACCGGUACAGGCUCUGGAAAGUGGCGGGCUAGAGUGCAGGAGAGGGCGGUGGAACUCCAUGUGUAGCGGUAAAAUGCGUAGAUAUAUGGAAGAACACCAGUGGCGAAGGCGGCCGCCUGGCCUGUUACUGACGCUGAGGCACGAAAGCGUGGGGAGCAAAUAGGAUUAGAUACCCGUGUAGUC
RNAcentral lists this ribosomal RNA (464 nucleotides) under uncultured bacterium. RNAcentral's name for it is "partial 16S ribosomal RNA". It matches the Rfam family "Bacterial small subunit ribosomal RNA", at positions 338 to 795 of the family's 1533-position model. The record is from RNAcentral.